GCCCCUGUAGUGUAGUCCGGACUAUCAUUCUGCCCUUUCGAGGCAGCGACUCGGGUUCAAAUCCCGGCGGGGGCA
This 75-nucleotide transfer RNA is filed under the name Nanobdellota archaeon. RNAcentral describes it as "tRNA-Glu". It matches the Rfam family "tRNA". From Rfam's summary of the family: Transfer RNA (tRNA) molecules are approximately 80 nucleotides in length. Their secondary structure includes four short double-helical elements and three loops (D, anti-codon, and T loops). The record is from RNAcentral. Lineage: Archaea; Nanobdellati; Nanobdellota.